UCAUGCAAGUCCUUGAACUGCAUUAUGGCAUUGUAUAGCUACAAAAAAUGUAUAGUGACUGUAAUUAAAUAUUAUAUAAACGAAUAUUAUAUGGAAGAAUACAUUUUUCAUUAUUAGGUAGUAUUUUAGCAAAAUUUAUAAGUGGAUAUAUCAAUAACAAUAAUUAACAUGAUCUCAAUAUAUUAAAAGGACAACAUAGGAUUUUUUGCUUCAGUUUUGCUCACAUUAAGUACGUAGAAUUAAUCUUGUACAAAGCAUAUUCUUCAUGUAUAAUAAACGAUUUGAAGAUUGCCCGUAAUCCUAAUCCAAAGCAAGUUAAAAUACCAUGCUAUACGUGGAAUGUAUUAUAUUAGUACUUACGCGAAAUAGAAUGCAACUUAAGGACAAGACGCAAACUAAGAGUAAUGGGAAAUACCACAUAUCAAACGAAAGUAACAAGCCUUUGCAGAACCUUAAACCCCAAGAAAUGCCUAUUUAGUAAGUUACACUUAUUCUCUAACCUAUAAAUAUUUGGAUGUAAUUAUUCAGGCUAAGGUGAAUAUUAACGAUUAAUAUUAUAUAAUCAAUAGAAAACAUAUUAAAAUAUUUCGAAACUAACUCUAAGGUUCUCCUAUGAAUGUAAAUUGAAAGACAAAUAUUCCGAUGCAUAUAUUGUAUUCUUUGAACAACAGGAAGUUGUAGCGUAUGGAUAGGUACCGUAUCUCGAAUUAAAUAACUGAAAACAAUUUAGAUAAUGUAACUAGUAUAUAAACUCCAUUAUUAAGAAAAAUAGUGCGCUCGUUAACCUAACAAUUUUAUAUGUUGCACAUGAAUGUUUCAUUACUGUAGUGAAGAACGUGAAAAUCGCAAGUAGCGACCAAACUCC
This is a long non-coding RNA of Ooceraea biroi (clonal raider ant), 865 nucleotides long. RefSeq lists it as uncharacterized. Lineage: Eukaryota; Metazoa; Arthropoda; Insecta; Hymenoptera; Formicidae. The record is from RefSeq and is a predicted model, not a curated record.